Molecule: long non-coding RNA, 1078 nt
Organism: Canis lupus familiaris (dog)
Lineage: Eukaryota; Metazoa; Chordata; Mammalia; Carnivora; Canidae
Exons: 4
Source: RefSeq, a predicted model, not a curated record
UCAUGACUCUGAGAUCAUGACCUGAGCUAAGAGUUGGACUCCACUGACUAAGCCAUUGAGGCACCUUUUAGAAUUGUGAGGAUUAAAUGAAUUAAUAGGCUCAGAACAACACCUGGCACAUAAUGACACAGGAGGAAAAGCACAAAAGUACACAGACAUAAAUGGAAUACAUGUGAUGUAUAUCCGACACGGACGCAGACACACACAUACUCUUUCAGAUUGUAUCUUGAGCUGAUUAUCCAUUCAACACAAUCUCCUAGAGCAUCUACAUCCACCAUGCAGUACAAUGAAUUAAUGGUCCUUCUAAAAUAGAAAAUUGAAUGAAGACUUAGUUAUUUCAUUUGCAAAAGCUAAUUGAAGCACAUAUUUAUGAAAUUAGACACGGAGACGUGAACCACUACCACCCACUCAACCACAACGAGAAUGAUUUUUUUACUUAUGAGACAGGAUAAAAGAAGAGAAAUUAAUAUGCAUGCGAGUAUUAUUGGAGUAACACGCCAUCAUCCCCUCCCGAUAGACCUAAUCCUCAGUGCAAGAAGGAAAUAAACCAAGAAAGAGUGAUCCAGGAAACAGGAAAUGCAACGGAGAAGCAACGGUAGUUCCCAAGAUGCUGGCAUGGGAGGCCCUAAGCCUACAGCUGGGAAGAGACCUAAAGAGCAAUCAUUGCCACCUAGAGCACAGCAGAGGGUUUCUGGAAGAGUUUCUUCAAUAAAACCCCAAACCAAAACAAAACAGAAGAGGAGAAAUGACACAUUUACCAACAGAUUUGACUGUGUAGAAAACAGUUACUGAGGGGUAUUUUAUAAAGCAGAGUUAGAGCGUGUAGGAAGACAUCAACUAUUUUUUUUUUUAACUCAAGUAAUUCUAAAAGAAAAAAAAUUUAAAUUUCAGGAAAAAACAGUUUAAAGAAAGUAAGUGCAAUCUGAGUACAAUACUUGGCUCAGGAGCUAACAAUAUGAAUAAAAACCCUGCAUGUGGCUUUAAUAAAAGGUAGAGAUCUGAUGAUAUUACAGGGCUGCGGUGGUGGGGAAGGACGUAAAAGUGAUAAAACCGAUAAAAUGUAGAAGUGUUAGAAACU